RNAcentral lists this ribosomal RNA (374 nucleotides) under uncultured organism. RNAcentral describes it as "partial 16S ribosomal RNA". It matches the Rfam family "Bacterial small subunit ribosomal RNA", at positions 527 to 896 of the family's 1533-position model. The record is from RNAcentral.
GGAGGGUGCAAACGUUGUUCGGAAUUAUUGGGCGUAAAGAGCAUGUAGGCGGUUUGUCAAGUCUGAUGUGAAAGCCCGGGGCUCAACCCCGGAAGUGCAUUGGAAACUGGCAAACUUGAGUACGGGAGAGGAAAGUGGAAUUUCGAGUGUAGGGGUGAAAUCCGUAGAUAUUCGAAGGAACACCAGUGGCGAAGGCGGCUUUCUGGACCGAUACUGACGCUGAGAUGCGAAAGCGUGGGGAGCAAACAGGAUUAGAUACCCUGGUAGUCCACGCCGUAAACGAUGGGUACUAGGUGUUGCGGGUAUUGACCCCCCUGCAGUGCCCAAAGCUAACGCAUUAAGUACCCCGCCUGGGGAGUACGGCCGCAAGGCUA